This 1338-nucleotide long non-coding RNA is filed under the name Apteryx haastii (Great spotted kiwi). Its description in RNAcentral is "lncRNA (ENSAHAG00000010232.1)". The record is from RNAcentral. Lineage: Eukaryota; Metazoa; Chordata; Aves; Apterygiformes; Apterygidae.
AUGGGAACCGGCACAGCUGCACCCCGCGAACCCCUCUGGAAACACACACAUCCACCCCGAAGGCCGGGAGAGCCCCCCAGCCAGCUAUGCUGCAGACAGGCAUCCUUGAAAGCUGGGUACCACAUGGCAUCAGAGCACGAGGCCGAGGCAUUGCAGAUCCCUUGUCCCUCUGGCAGCAGCAUCCCAGAGAAGAGACUUGGAAAAGCAGUGACACCGGGAGCGUCCGCUGCGCUCACGGUUGGCAGAGCGGUGCAGCAAUGCCCCAGCCCCAGCUUUCCUGCUUCUCUUUAUCUUGGUGCCAAUGUCCAGCUGCAGGYUCUGGAAAGCUACUGGACAAAGCAGCUGCACACUUCCAAACGGGAGCAACCAGCAAAGAUUACAGGCCUUGGAGGGAAAGACUGCACCAGCGGCAGUGACAUAAAAACCAAAAACAAACAAACAAAAAAAACCCCUUCUGUCAAGAGGGCUCAAAGGCACGCACGUCACGUCUGGGGCACGAGCUGCAGGCGGCAACACCCAGGUUCCCAAAUGCAAAGCCGCCAAACGGUGCGUGAAAUGCAACUCACGCUCGGCACCGCCAGACCGUGCGCCCGCUGCUGGGGCGCGCACGGGAGAGGAAGGGCAAGGAGCGGCUCCCGCCUCGUUUGGCGACGCCGACGCCAGCGGCACCAAGCCGCCGCCGCGGUGCCUGGCUGUCAGCUCCGCGUGGUUUUGCGCAUGAGGGGCCUCGGCAGGAGCAGGAGCCCGGCUGCAGCCCCAGCACCGCGGCGGGAGCAUCACAGCCGAUGGAGGGGCCGUGGCGCGGCCGGGAUCUGGGGUCCCCACCGGGCGCCGCUUCCCAAGCCGCCAAGCAUAGGAGCCCAAAACCCCCCAGUUCAGCAGCGUGAAACUAUCCCGGAGGGCACUUUACCUCCAGAGGGGCAAGAGCUAGAGGGAGGCGCAGGCUCAUCCCCCUCCAGUGGCCUUUUGCUGUGCAAGGGAACCGCAGGGCUGCYCUUGGCCGGAGCCCCCAGGUCACUGCGCGCCCGAGCGCCUCCCUGCUCCUCCAUCCUCCCUGCUCCUCCACCCAGCUCCCUCGGGCCAUGUUUUGUCAGCAAAGGAACGAUUAGCGUGAUUAGCACGCUCUCCCUGGACAACGUCCCGCCGGGAGAUAAGACGGAGGUGGGAGAGCACAGGCAGCCACCGCAGAGCCAGGACGCGAUGGGACGGGAGGCAGCAGCUGCCCAGCAGCACCGCUCCCACGCGCUCCCCUUGCUCGAUGCAAGGAAUGGAGCCUCAGCACCCUUCUCCCGAGAGCCAUCUCCACCAGGAGCAGAUCCGGCCCUUUCCCCCCCGUGA